ACUCAAAUGAAUAGACGGGGGCCCGCACAAGCAGCGGAGCGUGUGGUUUAAUUCGAUGAUACGCGAAGAACCUCACCCAGGUUUGACAUGCAUGUGGUACUGAUCCGAAAGGUGAGGGACCCCUCGGGGAGCAUGCACAGGUGUUGCACGGCCGUCGUCAGCUCGUGCCGUGAGGUGUUGGGUUAAGUCCCGCAACGAGCGCAACCCCUGUCGCCAGUUGUACUUUUCUGGCGAGACUGCCGAGAAAACCUCGGAGGAAGGAGGGGACGAUGUCAGGUCAGCGUGGCCCUUACGCCUGGGGCUACACACACGCUACAAUGGGUGGUACAACGGGUUGCCAAGCCGCGAGGCGGAGCUAAUCCCAUCAAAGCCAUCCCCAGUUCGGAUUGCAGGCUGAAACCCGCCUGCAUGAAGCCGGAGUUGCUAGUAACCGCAGGUCAGCAUUACUGCGGUGAAUACGUUCCCGGGCCUUGUACACACCGCCCGU
Molecule: ribosomal RNA, 487 nt
Filed under: uncultured bacterium
Lineage: Bacteria
Description: partial 16S ribosomal RNA
Rfam family: Bacterial small subunit ribosomal RNA
Source: RNAcentral